Molecule: ribosomal RNA, 109 nt
Filed under: Larimichthys crocea (large yellow croaker)
Lineage: Eukaryota; Metazoa; Chordata; Actinopteri; Sciaenidae
Source: RNAcentral
GCUUACGGCCAUACCACCCUGAAUGCGCCUGAUCUCAGAAGCUAAGCAGGGUUAGGCCUGGUUAGUACUUGAAUGGGAGACCGCCUGGGAAUACCAGGUGUUGUAAGCU